GACAGAGGGGGCAAGCGUUGUUCGGAAUUACUGGGCGUAAAGGGCGCGUAGGCGGCCUGUUAAGUCGAACGUGAAAUCCCCGGGCUCAACCCGGGAACUGCGUCCGAUACUGGCAGGCUUGAAUCCGGGAGAGGGAUGUGGAAUUCCAGGUGUAGCGGUGAAAUGCGUAGAUAUCUGGAGGAACACCGGUGGCGAAGGCGGCAUCCUGGACCGGUAUUGACGCUGAGGCGCGAAAGCCAGGGGAGCAAACGGG
RNAcentral lists this ribosomal RNA (253 nucleotides) under uncultured bacterium. RNAcentral's name for it is "partial 16S ribosomal RNA". It matches the Rfam family "Bacterial small subunit ribosomal RNA", at positions 524 to 776 of the family's 1533-position model. The record is from RNAcentral.